Oncorhynchus tshawytscha (Chinook salmon) is the source of this 753-nucleotide long non-coding RNA. Lineage: Eukaryota; Metazoa; Chordata; Actinopteri; Salmoniformes; Salmonidae. The record is from Ensembl.
UGAACAAACAGCAGAAGGUCCAUGUCCCCCGCACCCAUGACACACUACUCCUUCCAACCCAUCUCCUCUAGCCAUGCUCCUUACCUUCAGGUCCUUCCUACCCACCCCCUCUAGCCGUGCUCCUUACCUUCAGGUCCUUCCCACCCACCCCCUCUAGCCGUACUCCUUACCAUCAGGUCCUUCCCACCCACCCCCUCUAGCCGUACUCCUUACCCUCAGGUCCUUCCCACCCACCCCCUCUAGCCGUACUCCUUAUCCUCAGGUCCUUCCCACCCACCCCCUGUAGCCAUGCUCCUUAGCCUCAGGUCCUUCCCACUCACCCCCUCUAGCCGUACUCCUUACCCUCAGGUCCUUCCCACCUACCCCCUGUAGCCAUGCUCCUUACCCUCAGGUCCUUCCCACCCACCCCCUGUAGCCAUGCUCCUUACCCUCAGGUCCUUCCCACCCACCCCCUGUAGCCAUGCUCCUUACCCUCAGGUCCUUCCCACCCACCCCCUGUAGCCAUGCUCCUUACCCUCAGGUCCUUCCCACCCACCCCCUGUAGCCAUGCUCCUUACCCUCAGGUCCUUCCCACCCACCCCCUGUAGCCAUGCUCCUUACCCUCAGGUCCUUCCCACCCACCCCCUGUAGCCAUGCUCCUUACCCUCAGGUCCUUCCCACCCACCCCCUGUAGCCAUGCUCCUUACCCUCAGGUCCUUCCCACUCACCCCCUCUAGCUGUACUCCUUAUCCUCAGGUCCUUCCCACCUACCCC